Columba livia (rock pigeon) is the source of this 3028-nucleotide long non-coding RNA. RefSeq lists it as uncharacterized. The record is from RefSeq and is a predicted model, not a curated record. The transcript is spliced from 2 exons. Lineage: Eukaryota; Metazoa; Chordata; Aves; Columbiformes; Columbidae.
AACUCUGAAACUUUGCCACUGUCUGCAGCAGCUCACCGCCCUGGUGCAGUGAUUCUCCAUAAGGGCUGUUGUCCAUCUGGCUACCGGCCCUGAAAGAAAAUACCAGAAAGCUCUGGAAAAGCCUCUACCAAGAAACUGGGAUGCCCCAUCAUAGGGACUUGACUUGCUGACAUGUAUCCAAAACAGGUUUUACAGUGUUCUCUGUCCUCAGAGUUAGACGUGGGGAUGUCGCUGAACAAGGAGGACUCCCUGUUUGCAUGAACAACUUCUGUGUCACCUGCCAGAGGCUGUUGUCCUUGUCUGACUUUUCCUUACCUGGCUUCAGCUAUAGAAGCCAAGGCUCAACAUAAUACCAUGUAAUAGGGUGAAAAGUCACGUCUGUGAUUUGUAUUCCAGAUGCGCAGUUCCAUGCUGGCUUUGGACAGCACAAAAGGAAAACUUUGUCUUUUACCAAAGGGGUAGGUCUCUUCAGGCUCACAAAUGUGGCAUUAACAAGCACACAACUCUUGGUGUGGCUCUGCAGGGAAGCGAAUGACGGAUUUAACUUCUCUGUACUUAUACAGCAAAUCAAUGGAAUAAAGGAUACUGCUUUGCAAUCUCUAGAGGUUAAAUCAAAGAGAAGAAAGAUACAGACUCUUAAAUUCUACACCAGAUGACCCUGCCGAGCCUACAUACAGGAUCAAACUGCAAGUGAAGUCUCUGGCUUCUUGGUUCUUCCAUGUUCUAUUACUUAAAACGUCAGGAAUAGCAGCAGAGUGUAUCACAGGUCUCUGCUGGUCUCUAAGCUUGUUUACUGUAAUAUGUAGCCUUCGAAGAGAAAGAACGAAGAACUGAAUCAUCCCUAAAGAAACUCUGGGCUUCAAAUUGUGAAUUAUAUUAUAUUUUAGAGCAGAUAACUCCUCUAACCAAAAUCACAGGAUCAGAUGCCCUGUGAGUAUAUAAUAUAACAUUUUUUUGCCUCCGAGAGCUGGCAGCACAGGAAGCUAUGGCAGACAAAAGGGACUGAAAUUGUGAGCACUGGCUGAUGGAUGGAGAAACUGUAGUGCCGAGGGAGUAAUUUGUGGAGGGUCUGGUGGCAGCGCAGCAUUGACAGAAUGAAAUGGGGCCUGGGGGCCGCCCUGACGCCUGUGCUCCCAAGCUACAAGGCUAACCUGCAGUUUAACCAUGGACGUAUGUGAAGGAGCUUUCUACAUUUAGACAACGCAUUCCUUUUACUCAGGCUCUUGCACUGGAUUACCCUACCUAGACCAGGAGCUGGAUUAAAGGCAUACACAAAAUCAACAUACCAUGUGUCUGUGAAGUUUAGCAAUUGUGUGUUGUGGGUGUCCUCUAGUUGUGUAGGGGAUAGUGAACUGAGCUGGUCUGACAUGCUUCCCUGCGUUUCUUGUGUGGUUUUCUAUGUAGACUUGGAGUUGGAGUGUAAGGUUGAGGCUACCAAAAAAAAAAAACAACUGUUUCAGUAGUUGAAUGGCCAUACCAUCAUGUCAUGAUGUUUUUAUUUCUUACGCUGGAGAGAACCUGGGUUUCUGCUGAAGUCACGCUGAAGACUGGCUGCUUCUCGUUUUGAAUCUCUUCUGGUGCUAAAGCUGCAGUGGAGUUUUCAGUUACACAUUUCUGGAGUCUCCCUGACCACGACUGUUACCUGAUGGCGCCUAUAUUUCAUCGAGUUUAGACAAGCAGUCUACCUGGACUUAGGCCCAGAGGAGCUGCUGUAGCUGAUGAACAUGAUCCUCUCUGUGCCGGAAUCCAAGACCUGUAGUACCACAGUUCCCAAGGGAAUUGAAAGAAAACUGUGUUCAGGCCUCGCCUCCUGCAUUUUUAAUUUUUUGUUGUUGUUGUUGUGUAGUAUUGCCUUGUACUGAUGGGUAGCGUACCUCGCCAUGAGUAAAAUCUGGUUUUAGUUCAUUGGUAAUUAGGAGAAAAGAUUCUUUUUAACCCAGACUGAAAACAGAAGCAGGGAAGAGCAAGAACAGAGGCAGCAACAGAAGAUACUCUGACAUCUCUUGAUUUCUGCUUACAAAUAAAGUGACAAGUUAUUAAACAAAAUAACAAAAAAUGUUGCAGCAUUAGUGUUAGCAUGAAGUGAAGUUUUUUUACUGCGUUAUCAUUUUCAUACUUCCAGAUUUUAGUGGAGGCAAUUGCAUAUUUUGAUUCUGUUCUUGUAUGUUUCCCUUUAAUCUGUUUGAUUCUGUUAUAAAAGCUGCGUUACAUAAACAUUAUAUAUUAUUUUAGCUGCAGAAUGCUAUCCUGGUGGAUUUUUUCAUUUAGAAAAUGUUUGUAGAAUUUUUUUAUGAUUCAACAGUGAGCGUUAAUGUUUAGUCUAAUUAAAUUUAAUUGCAUUUCCUGUAUUGUUUUAUUUUUAGUUUGCUCUUAUGCCUUUAUUUUCUUCAGGAUUUGUAAAUCUGACAUCUUUUGUUUUUUUAAAGCAUGGAGUUGGCAGUCAGAUACGAGCCCACUUUAAAGCAAAUGAAAUAAUUAUCUUAAAAUUCUUCUACAUGUGGGUAACGUGGUUUCUGCUUAAUGAUCAAGACCUGUAUCUUUAUGUUGUUUUGGAUUGUGUGACCUUGUUAGUUUGUUUUCUUUUGUAAAUUUAAAAAAUUAAGAUGAAGAAGAGGGAUUAAAAGCUGCUUCUUGUUCUAGCUUUGAUUUCCAGGUCAACUGGAGAGGCAGACAGAACACGUUCAUUACUCUUUCAGCUACAUACAUUUUUGCCAUUGGUCAUUUUAUCUUUUACUGCUCAUAUUUACCUUACUAACAUGUUAUACCAUUACUUUCUUCCCUUAUGUACUAGGAAAAAGUGUGGGAAAAUUUGCCUUCAACUAUUUUGGGGUUUUCUGUUGUUGUAACAGUUUAUCUGACUGUUUUUCUAAACGUGAGUUGUUUACCCUGGGAGUAACUACAGUGGCUGGAGAACUUGUAAAGCUCUGCAUUCAUGAAUGUGAAGACUGAACAGAUAAGGAUUCUCAGAUUUACUUAUUUAAAUCUAGUGAGUAACAAACAUCUGAAAUAAAGAUAUCAUUACUAAAAA